Molecule: ribosomal RNA, 270 nt
Filed under: uncultured archaeon
Lineage: Archaea
Description: partial 16S ribosomal RNA
Rfam family: Archaeal small subunit ribosomal RNA
Source: RNAcentral
CUGCAGCUCAAGUGGUCAGGAUGAUUAUUGGGCCUAAAGCAUCCGUAGCCGGCGCUGUAAGUUUUCGGUUAAAUCUGUACGCUCAACGUACAGGCUGCCGGGAAUACUGCAGCGCUAGGGAGUGGGAGAGGUAGACGGUACUCGGUAGGAAGGGGUAAAAUCCUUUGAUCUAUUGAUGACCACCUGUGGCGAAGGCGGUCUACCAGAACACGUCCGACGGUGAGGGAUGAAAGCUGGGGGAGCAAACCGGAUUAGAGACCCCAGUAGUCC